GGCGUAGCAAUACGUCAGCGGCAGACGGGUGAGUAACGCGUGGGAACGUACCUUUUGGUUCGGAACAACACAGGGAAACUUGUGCUAAUACCGGAUAAGCCCUUACGGGGAAAGAUUUAUCGCCGAAAGAUCGGCCCGCGUCUGAUUAGCUAGUUGGUGAGGUAAUGGCUCACCAAGGCGACGAUCAGUAGCUGGUCUGAGAGGAUGAUCAGCCACAUUGGGACUGAGACACGGCCCAAACUCCUACGGGAGGCAGCAGUGGGGAAUAUUGGACAAUGGGCGCAAGCCUGAUCCAGCCAUGCCGCGUGAGUGAUGAAGGCCCUAGGGUUGUAAAGCUCUUUUGUGCGGGAAGAUAAUGACGGUACCGCAAGAAUAAGCCCCGGCUAACUUCGUGCCAGCAGCCGCGGUAAUACGAAGGGGGCUAGCGUUGCUCGGAAUCACUGGGCGUAAAGGGUGCGUAGGCGGGUCUUUAAGUCAGGGGUGAAAUCCUGGAGCUCAACUCCAGAACUGCCUUUGAUACUGAGGAUCUUGAGUUCGGGAGAGGUGAGUGGAACUGCGAGUGUAGAGGUGAAAUUCGUAGAUAUUCGCAAGAACACCAGUGGCGAAGGCGGCUCACUGGCCCGAUACUGACGCUAGC
This 637-nucleotide ribosomal RNA is filed under the name Bradyrhizobium sp. RNAcentral describes it as "bacterial SSU rRNA". It matches the Rfam family "Bacterial small subunit ribosomal RNA", at positions 69 to 750 of the family's 1533-position model. The record is from RNAcentral. Lineage: Bacteria; Pseudomonadati; Pseudomonadota; Alphaproteobacteria; Hyphomicrobiales; Nitrobacteraceae.